Molecule: ribosomal RNA, 255 nt
Filed under: uncultured Lactobacillus sp.
Lineage: Bacteria; Bacillati; Bacillota; Bacilli; Lactobacillales; Lactobacillaceae
Description: partial 16S ribosomal RNA
Rfam family: Bacterial small subunit ribosomal RNA
Source: RNAcentral
GUUUCGGAUNUUGGGCGUAAGCGAGCGCAGGCGGUUUUGUAAGUCUGCUGUGAAAGCCCUCAGCUCAACUGAGGAAGUGCAGUGGAAACUACAAAACUUGAGUACAGAAGAGGAAAGUGGAACUCCAUGUGUAGCGGUGAAAUGCGUAGAUAUAUGGAAGAACACCAGUGGCGAAGGCGGCUUUCUGGUCUGUUACUGACGCUGAGGCUCGAAAGCAUGGGUAGCGAACAGGAUUAGAUACCCUUGGGUAGUCCA